Molecule: ribosomal RNA, 345 nt
Filed under: uncultured Streptococcus sp.
Lineage: Bacteria; Bacillati; Bacillota; Bacilli; Lactobacillales; Streptococcaceae
Description: bacterial SSU rRNA
Rfam family: Bacterial small subunit ribosomal RNA
Source: RNAcentral
AGGUGGUGCAUGGGUUGUCGUCAGCUUCGUGUCGUGAGAUGUUGGGUUAAGUCCCGCAACGAGCGCAACCCUCGCCUCUAGUUGCCAGCAUUCGGUUGGGCACUCUAGAGGGACUGCCGGCGACAAGUCGGAGGAAGUGGGAUGACGUCAAAUCAUCAUGCCCCUUAUGACCUGGGCUACACACGUGCUACAAUGGGCGGUACAACGAGUUGCGAGUCGGUGACGGCGAGCUAAUCUCUUAAAGCCAAUCUCAGUUCGGAUUGUAGGCUGCAACUCGCCUACAUGAAGUCGGAAUCGCUAGUAAUCGCGGAUCAGCACGCCGCGGUGAAUACGUUCCCGGGCCUU